GAUAAGGCAUAAGAAUUUCACAAAUCAUCUAAAUUCAACACUCCACAAAAGUCCAAUCUUGACCAAUCAGAAAAGAAAAUCUCAAACAAAUUGAAAAUGGAUAAAAAAAAAUACAAAAAAUCAUGCUCAAACCUAACAUCCAGAAGCAACAACAUGCAAAAAAUCAGAUUAAUUGAAGUUCAUAUGGCCUGGUAAAUAAAAUCAGCAACAUGAACAAGAA
Molecule: long non-coding RNA, 220 nt
Filed under: Lathyrus oleraceus (garden pea)
Lineage: Eukaryota; Viridiplantae; Streptophyta; Magnoliopsida; Fabales; Fabaceae
Description: Pisum sativum (pea) long non-coding RNA (PSAT_LNC035404)
Source: RNAcentral